ACGGAGGAUCCAAGCGUUAUCCGGAUUUACUGGGUUUAAAGGGUGCGUAGGCGGAAUAAUAAGUCAGUGGUGAAAUCCUUUAGCUUAACUAAAGAACUGCCAUUGAUACUGUUAAUCUAGAGUAUAUUUGAAGUGGGCGGAAUGUGUCAUGUAGCGGUGAAAUGCUUAGAUAUGACACUGAACACCGAUUGCGAAGGCAGCUCACUAAACUAUAACUGACGCUGAGGCACGAAAGCGUGGGGAGCAAACA
Molecule: ribosomal RNA, 250 nt
Filed under: uncultured bacterium
Lineage: Bacteria
Description: partial 16S ribosomal RNA
Rfam family: Bacterial small subunit ribosomal RNA
Source: RNAcentral